AGCGGGGAGCAAGGCCUGCGGGGAGGCGCAGGAUGGACGCGUUGGCUGUCAUGAUGUAGGACCUCCUGACCUAGAACCAUGCCCGGCGCAGGGAGAACAACGAGCUUACGGACCGGGUGCGGGGGCUGCUGUGCGAGAAAGCCUACCUGCUGGCCCGGGAGCGUUCGCCGGCCCACCUGGUGGCUUUCCCUGGACGUUUAACGGCGACUCCGCCCGGCCUCCCGACUUUUUGAUGCAGGCGUUCUCUUACAUGACUUUCUUCGAGGCUAGAUUCUCGAAAGACAUCCUGAAGGUGGCUUUCUUAAUUAGCUGCCUCACCGGCUGGCGGAGCAGUUCGUAGUCGCCUACAUCGAGAGGGAGAGCCCCGUCCUGGCUCAGUACUGGGGCUUCGUGGACGCGCUGUAGCGGGUCUUCGCCGUCGUGGGUAGGAAACAGUCGGGCCGGAUCCCCGGUGUCUGGGGAGCGGCUGCCGGCCGGGCCCGCGCGAGCCGCUUCACUCCUACAAGCCCGGCUCACUAGUUCCAAGCUGCUGGACUUUGACCCUCGCUGGGAAGCUUGAUCGCCGCCUGUUCUCGCCAAUCUCUAUGCCUUUGCACUGCCCAGCAACCCGGUCACUGCCCAGGACCUGUUAAAAGUUGAAUGGACCUCCCAGAAUCACGCCGCUGCCACCGCCGUUUCUAGAGACGGCUUUUGGCCACCUUUGAGAAUCAGGGUCAAACUUGGAAGGGCCUGCAUUUGUCACACUUCCUCGGACACUAAUUUGGAUAGUUCAGGCCCAGAGACGGCUUCCCGGGUUAGUGUGCCUGACAACACUGAAGAAAAAUUGUGACAUUUUCCUUCCCCAGAAUUACUUCGUUUUAUACAUUUCACUUCUCUUCUGAAAUCACAGCAAUGCCAGUUUGCGCCUUUUGGUCUGAGGAACGCAGGCCCUGGCCACUACCAGGAAAAAUAGGCUUCACUAGCUUCCUGCUUCUCAAAUCCCUUGAAAAGAUGAGAUUUUUUUUUCGUGGAGUUCACGUCUAGUAAGUUGGUCUUGAUUUUUUUUUUCUUUCAGAACCUUCUGGAUUUCAGCUUUGGCAAGCUUCCUCUGUUUCUGAGACACCUCCAUCACCUGGGUUACAAUCCCAUCCAUGAUUUUCCCCAUCUCCAGGCAUUUUUCAUGGAAAGCUCCUCAUGCUUUUUAAUUCCAGUUUAUCCAUUUGUGUGGCUUUAACCUCCACAUCCAGGUCUUUCUGGCUAAACUGCAGUAUAUCCACAAUGGGGCCAAUGGACACAUAAGGGAGGCCCUAUCACAGGAACACGAACACCCGGAGUCGCUAGAAAUCAGAUUCCACCGGCUUUGCUUCAGGCCGACUUCCUAAGGAAGGCAUGGUAGCAUCACAGAUGCUGUUUGUCUCAGUUUCCUGAGAAGCCAGUUUCUUAGAGCUGUCAUUCAAGAGUGGGUCAAAUUUGAGAUAUAAAAACCUUUCUCAAGGUAGACUCUUUGGCCCCUAUGCCUAGUAUGUCAGCUGGGCCUCUGAAGCUCUCCUCUUUGAGGUCCUGGCAGGCUCUGGCCCCUGUUGAGAAGGGGAAGCAGUCAUGUGAACUCAUGUGCUGGAAGAAUCCACUCUACCCCUUCCCUGGCUUCUCUGCUGCAAUUUUUGUCUUUAAACGUAUUUUCAGGUGAUUCCAGUUUGCAUACAUAAUUGAGAAAUAUAAGAUUUGGUCCCCAGUAGAGAGCCAGGUGAACUUAAGAAGGAGUCCAUCUAAGAAAAUUGCACAAUUAUCUAGUUUCACUUGGGUUUAGCUUUUAUGGCUUACUUGAUUUAGUAAUCAAAUGAUUUUCAAAUGAUUUUGAUCAGGUGACUCUUCGUAAACUAGAGAAUGAACUUGAGAGCCGAAUUAGCACAGUUUAAAAAUAAUCAUUUAGUUUUUGUUCUCUAUUGUGUAAAUUAUUGAGGUUUGACUGUCUUGGCUAAACUAAGGCUCAUCUAAUAUCUUUAUUUUUGAUAUCCUAAUUUCUUGCCAAUUAAUUGAAGGUAACAUACUAGCAGACCAGAUAACUACUUAUGCAAACCUCAGAUAACCACUAAUUUAAACAAAAUUAAAUCCUUUGCCUUCCCCAGAUCCUUUGCACAUGGCCUGCUAUCAACAAUCCUCUACAAUGAUUCUCAGCAUCACCUAGGGAGCUUAUGUAAAAUCUCAAAUUCCUGGGCCCUAUCCCCAGAGUUUCUUAUCAAGUAAGUCUGCAUUGGGAUCUGAGGAUUUGCAUCUCUAACAAAAAUUCCUAGGCGAUGCUCACACUGUUGGUGUAAGGUUUCCUUGAUGGAGAACUAUCAAAGCAGUCAAAGCUAUCAAAAUAAAAAAGAAUUCUGAUUGGGUGCAGUGGCUCACACCUGUCAUUCCAGCACUUUGAGAGGCCAAGGUGGGCAGAUCACAUGAGGCCAGGAGUUCAAGACCAGCCUGGCCAACAUGGCAGAAACCCCAUCUCUACUAAAAAUACCAAAAUUAGCCGGGCAUGGUGGAACACACCUGCAAUCCCAGCUACUCGGGAGGCUGAGGCAAGAGAAUCGCUUGAACCUGGGAGGCAGAAGUUGCAGUGAAACAAGUUGGUGCCAAUGCAUUCCAGCCUGGAUGAUGGAGCGAGACUCUGUCUCAAGAAAAAAAAAACAAAAACAAAAACAGAACUCUGCCUCAUAGCGUCUUUUAAGUUAUACACUGGACCUAUCCUUUCCUCACUGACAGACAUUUUAAAAAUUUUUUGGUAAGGCCUAGUUCAUAUAAAAUGUAAUCCAAGCCAAAAGUUAACAAGAAUAAGGGGAGGAAAGGGGACUCCAAUAGCAGAGAAAGGUAUUUACCUGGGAUAUACACUGCAAGAAAAUCAAAGCUAUAAGAAACGUCCAUGAAUAGUAGCCAUAAGGCAUCAGAGUGAUAAAAUUCCUGUCCCUAGGAGGGAAUAUUGGAGUUUGCCAGAGAAACAGAAUGAGAGAGACAGAGAGGUUUAUUGUAGGAAUUGGCUCAUAUGAUUACGGAGGCUGAGAAGACCCACGAUCUGCCAUCUGCAAGCUGGAGAAUCAGGAAAGCUGGAGGUGUAAUUCAGUCAAGUCCAAUGGCCAGAGAAGCAAGUGUACUGAUAUCCAAGAGCAGGAGAAAAUAGAUGUCCCAGAACAAGCAGAGAGGCUGAUUUUGUCCUUCCUCUGCCUUUUUGUUUCAUAUGGGGCACUGAAUGGACUGAUGCCCAUCCACAUUAGUGAGGGUGGAUCUUCUUUACUCAGUCUACCAGUAGAAAUGUCAAUGACUUCCAGAAACACCCUCACCAACACACGUGGAAAUAAUGUUUUACCAGGUAUCUGGGCAUCCCUUGGUUCACUCAAGUUGACACAAAAUUAACCAUCACAGAAGGAGACUGGCCUUACUCUGAAAUUAGGAAACUAAAGAAGUGACCAGAAUGGAGACUAGGUAGAGACAACUAGUUCUCUACCAAACAUGUACAGUUAUUCGUUGGUAUCUGAAGGGGAUUGGUUCCAGGAACUCUCAGGGAUACCAAAAUCUGCAGGUGCUCAAGUCAUUUAUAUAAAAUAUUACAGUAUUUGCAUAUAACCUUUGCACAUCUUCCAUAUACUUUAAAUCAUCUCUACAUUACUUAUAAUAAUGAAUGUGUAAAUGCUAUGAAAAUAGUUACUACACUAUUGUUUAUUUGUAUUUUUAUUGAAUUGUUUUGGGGUGGGGGGCAGCUGUAUCUUUCUUAGUAAUAGAACCCCUGGUUUUAGCUGGGCACAUGACUGCCCUCAAUAAAGAUUAAAGUACCCCAGCCUUCCUUGAGAUUGUGGCCAUGUGACUGAACUUUAGACAGUGAGAUAUAAGCAGAUAUCUUCUGUGGCAGUGUUAGGAAACUAUUAAAGACAGUAAGAACAUUGCCCUUUGCCUUCUUUUUCCUUUCUUCAUUUUUCUGCCUGGAAUGCAAAUGUGAUGGCUAACACCCUAGCAGCCAUUUUAGAUUAUGAAGAUGAGAGUCACUCCCCAGGAAGGGUGGACCUGAAAGCUGGAUUCUAGAUGUGGAAUGACAAUACCAGCCCUGGACUACCUACCUGUAGGCUGUGUGUGUGUGUGUGUGAUUGACAGAGAGAGAGAGAGAUAGAUACCACAAGUAACACAAAGCAUCAUACCUGGGACUGGGAAGGUUAAUGUUUAAACAUUUUAAAUGUGGCAUUGGUUUGUUGAAGACAGUCAAGCAGUAGGUGCUGCAGGCUUUGUUGAGGCUAGAAAGCUGUUGGUCUUUAUUAGGUGAUGGCAAAACAAUGGAUCACAUUUUCAUGUGCUGUGUCUUGGGAGGCAAAUGAUGAGAAUGUAGGAUUGGGGAAAAUGGUAAGGAAAAUCCAAAAUGUUCAUGUUUUCUAACCCCUUCUUGCCAAUCUUAAAAGAAGGACAAACAGGCUAGAUUAAGCAAGUCUACAGUUACAAUUGGAAGGAAACACAGCCGUACUAAGGAAGUACUCUGUCUGUGGCCUGCAGUCUAGUUUGACUAGGUCCUGUAUUUGAGCUUUGAAAGAGUAAAGAAUACAAGUGCUCGUAUACCCCUGAAGUAGUUACCAGCAGUGACUGCAAGGAGGUAAUCUUAUGGGAUGAAACUAUAACUCUGUAUUAACCAUCAUAUAUAGCAUAUAUGUGUAUAUGUAUGUGUGUGUGUGUAUAUGUGUAUAUAAAUAUAUGUGUGUGUAUAUACACACAUGUACACACCCUACAACCCAGUGAUUUCAAAAAAUUAAACAUUUGUUUAGCUCAUGAAUCUGUGGGUUGGGUGAACAUUUCUAUUGGUCUUGGCUGGGCUCACCUGUACCCAGUCAGCUGCAGGGUCUAGCUCUUCUUAUCUUGGCUGGGAUCUCACACAUGUCUAGGAUCAGCUGCUUUACUAGUCUAGGAUUGUCUUGGCUGAGACAGGUGGACUACUCAGUUCUCCUCCACUGCCUUAUCCUUCAGCUGGCCAGCCCAGAAAUGUUGCCAUGUUUACAGCAUAAGAGCAAGCAAGAAAGAAUAAUAUGCAACCACUUUUCCAAGCCUAAGGUGAAAGGGCGGGCAGAACCUGUGGUGUUAGGAGGCAACUCAUACCAGCCCAUGGGUCUACCGUUUAAUUUUCAGAAAUUUGGCAAGCUGAUUGUUAACACAGCUGUUGUUUAAUUUAUGUACUUGUAAUUAAAUAAUUUACAUUAAAACAAAGAUAAUAGGUACUCAAA
RNAcentral lists this long non-coding RNA (5210 nucleotides) under Homo sapiens (human). RNAcentral describes it as "HSALNT0392698". The record is from RNAcentral. Lineage: Eukaryota; Metazoa; Chordata; Mammalia; Primates; Hominidae.